This is a transfer RNA of 82 nucleotides. It matches the Rfam family "tRNA". From Rfam's summary of the family: Transfer RNA (tRNA) molecules are approximately 80 nucleotides in length. Their secondary structure includes four short double-helical elements and three loops (D, anti-codon, and T loops).
GGGUCGAUGCCCGAGUGGUUAAAGGGGGCGGACUGUAAAUCCGCUGGUUACGCCUACGUUGGUUCAAAUCCAACUCGGCCCA